Ribosomal RNA from Betta splendens (Siamese fighting fish), 119 nucleotides. The record is from Ensembl. Lineage: Eukaryota; Metazoa; Chordata; Actinopteri; Anabantiformes; Osphronemidae.
GCUUACGGCCAUACCACCCUGAGCACGCCCGAUCUCGUCUGAUCUCGGAAGCUAAGCAGUGUCGGGCCUGGUUAGUACUUGGAUGGGAGACCGCCUGGGAAUACCAGGUGCUGUAAGCU